UGAUAAGAGAUGAAAGAAAAGAUCGGGAUCCCAGGGUCCAGGAUUUUAUUCCCAACGCAUGGCAGCAGGAACUCCUGGAUGUGGUAGAUAAGAAUGAGUCAGCAGUGAUUGUUGCCCCAACGUCCUCAGGCAAAACCUAUGCUUCCUACUACUGCAUGGAGAAAGUGCUGAGGGAGAGCGAUGUCGGGGUGGUCGUGUAUGUUGCACCUGCAAAGUCCCUUGUUGGUCAAGUGGCUGCAACUGUUGAGAAUCGUUUUACUAAAACGUUGCCUGCCGGCAGAACUCUAUGCGGUGCUUUUACAAGAGAUUAUCGUCACAAUGUACUAAACUGUCAGUGCCGGAAUGUUUUGAAAUCCUGUUGCUUGCUCCUCAUCGCCAAAAAUGGGUGGAAAGGAUCAGAUAUGUUAUAUUUGAUGAGGUCCAUUAUCUUGGCAGAGAAGUUGGAGCAAAAUUUUGGGAGCUCCUCCUUGUCAUUAUUCGGUGUCCCUUUUUGGUUCUUUCAGCUACCAUAAAUAACCCAAAUCUUCUCACCAAGUGGCUGCAAUCAGU
This 549-nucleotide small RNA is filed under the name Pan troglodytes (chimpanzee). Its description in RNAcentral is "processed transcript". Lineage: Eukaryota; Metazoa; Chordata; Mammalia; Primates; Hominidae. The record is from RNAcentral.